This is a long non-coding RNA of Paramormyrops kingsleyae, 890 nucleotides long. RefSeq lists it as uncharacterized. NCBI's taxonomy places the organism in Eukaryota, Metazoa, Chordata, Actinopteri, Osteoglossiformes, Mormyridae. The record is from RefSeq and is a predicted model, not a curated record.
AGGAGCAGAACAUCAGAGAGCUAAUCUCUUUGAACGCUCGUCUCUUUGUUGUCUGACUGUAAUCCAGUAAAAAAGCCUCAUACGUCUAUGAACUAUAAACACUAAAGGCGCGUGUUUUUUCCCUUAUUAAGAUCCGGAACGGCAGAGCUGGAAAAAGAAAAAAGCUUGAAGCUCCCGUGCCAGCUUGCUGCCGUCUCGUGCCGCGGAGCCGUCACGAGCGCAAACGAGGCCUGCGUCCCCUUCUCAGGUGACUCCUUUGACUCCCAGGCCAGCAGGUGGAGUAAUGCUUAAGGAUACAGAAGAAUCAACCCAGAAGGGGCCUUAUUGUAACCUUAAGAAACUCACUCCAUCAGAAUUUAAUGUAUAGGUGUAUUUAAUGUAUUUAUAAUGUAUAUGCUGUUCUCCAUUCAUUGUCUGAACUACAUAUAGGCAAAAUCGAGUCAAUCUGUAACAAACAAGCUAAGCAGCCAAGAUAUAAACAUAUGAGUUUCAGGAGGUAGCAGGUGUGAAUGUUCUGCUGGUCUGGAGCCUCCACUGCAGUGCUCGCAGCAGCAAUACCACAAAGAGAUGGCUUCCAUAUUAUUUUUAUUUACUGCAUAGUGGCAAAACGUGGCGAAGUAAUGAGAAAAAUGAUAAUUGAUAAUAAUCCAGUGGCACAUUAAUUUCAUAUCCUGUGGAUUUUGCAAGGUCCUUAUUAUUUGGAACAAAUUAUUAUUAUUAUUCUCUGCGAAUAUCACUCAGGGUUCCAAAUGUCACUCAGCGCUGUGAAUGUCACUCAGCAUUCUGAACAUCACUCAGCGUCCUAAAUGUUGCUCAGUGUUCCAAAUAUCACUCAGUGUUCAGAAUGUCGCUCAGUAUUCCAAACAUCACUCGACGUUCUGAAUGUCGCU